GACAAACGCUGGCGGCAUGCCUAACACAUGCAAGUCGAACGGACAGAACAGGGAAGCUUUUCGCAGUGGUACUGGACGGAUAGUGGCGGAAGGGUGAGUAACCCGUGGACAACCUAUCUUGUAAAGGGGAAUAACCUCGAGAAAUCGAAGCUAAUACCCUAUAAUAACCUUGCUUCGCAUGAAGUACGGAGGAACGGUGACCUUAGCGUUGUUGCUACCAGAUUGGUCCGCGUCUGAUUAGCUAGUUGUUGAGGUAAAGGCUAACCAAGGCGACAAGCAGUGGCCGGCUUGAGGGGGUGAAGGGCAAAAUUGGGAUGGAAACACGGCCAAAAUUCCUAGGGAGGGCAGCAGUGGGGAAUUUUCCGAAAUGGGGGAAAGCCUGAGGAAGCAAUGCGGGGUGAGUGAAGAAGGCCUUCGGGUUGUAAAACUCUUUCCUUGGGGAAGAGAGAGUGGUGUGGUAAUUGACAAUACUAGGACGGUAGAUGAGAAGGAGGCCCGGGCAAACUAUGU
This 510-nucleotide ribosomal RNA is filed under the name uncultured bacterium. RNAcentral's name for it is "partial 16S ribosomal RNA". It matches the Rfam family "Bacterial small subunit ribosomal RNA", at positions 28 to 506 of the family's 1533-position model. The record is from RNAcentral.